RNAcentral lists this ribosomal RNA (254 nucleotides) under uncultured bacterium. RNAcentral's name for it is "partial 16S ribosomal RNA". It matches the Rfam family "Bacterial small subunit ribosomal RNA", at positions 524 to 776 of the family's 1533-position model. The record is from RNAcentral.
UACGAAGGGUGCAAGCGUUACUCGGAAUUACUGGGCGUAAAGCGUGCGUAGGUGGUGCGUUAAGUCUGUCGUGAAAGCCCCGGGCUCAACCUGGGAAUGGCGAUGGAUACUGGCGCGCUAGAGUGCGGUAGAGGAGAGUGGAAUUCCCGGUGUAGCAGUGAAAUGCGUAGAGAUCGGGAGGAACAUCAGUUGCGAAGGCGGCUCUCUGGACCAGCACUGACACUGAGGCACGAAAGCGUGGGGGAGCAAACAGG